GAUGAACGCUGGCGGCGUGCUUAACACAUGCAAGUCGAACGGAAAGGCCCAAGCUUGCUUGGGUACUCGAGUGGCGAACGGGUGAGUAACACGUGGGUGAUCUGCCCUGCACUUCGGGAUAAGCCUGGGAAACUGGGUCUAAUACCGGAUAGGACCACAUUUUGGAUGGUGUGGUGGAAAGUUUUUCGGUGUGGGCUGAGCUCGCGGCCUAUCAGCUUGUUGGUGGGGUAAUGGCCUACCAAGGCGUCGACGGGUAGCCGGCCUGAGAGGGUGUACGGCCACAGUGGGACUGAGAUACGGCCCAGACGCCUACGGGAGGAAGAAGGGGGGAAGAUUGCACAAGGGGCGCAAGCCUGAUGCAGCGACGCCGCGUGGGGGAUGACGGCCUUCGGGUUGGAAACUCCUUUCGCUAGGGACGAAGCGUUAUGUGACGGUACCUGGAGAAGAAGCACCGGCUAACUACGUG
RNAcentral lists this ribosomal RNA (466 nucleotides) under uncultured bacterium. RNAcentral describes it as "partial 16S ribosomal RNA". It matches the Rfam family "Bacterial small subunit ribosomal RNA", at positions 28 to 507 of the family's 1533-position model. The record is from RNAcentral.